GUGGAUCGAAAGGCUUCGGCCUAUUGUGAAACAACGUGAGCCUAACUGUUUAGAGGAUGAAGAAGUCGUAACACGGUAUCCGUAGGUGAACCUGCGGAUGGAUUAUUUAAUAACAAUAACAACGUUGAAAAUAUGAUUCUGAUUACUAAUUCAAUAUUUAAAAGUUAAAAGCGAUAAUGGUGGAUGACUAGACCUUUGAAAUGAUGAAGAACGUGUUAAGAUACGAUAACUCGCGACCAUCAUUGAUUGGAUGUAGACAUUUUGAAUUCUAAGGUAAAUUAGCUUCUGCUGAUUGCAUCGACAAUCUGUGACAAUUUGAUUCAUUAGCAGGAGAUAUUUGUCUGAUAGACAUAUUCCAAUGGACAUAGUCAUAUAUGUAAGUAUCAACUAACCAUCCAUCUUUUUGUCCAGAUCUGUUGAGAGCUACCAGCUGAAUUUAAGCAUAUUAAUAAGCUGAGGAAAAGAAAUCAACUGAGAUUCUUUUAUUAGCGGCGAGCGAAAAAAGAAAAUGCCACAGUGUUAAUCUCAAUUGAGAGUUGUACACUACGGGGUAACAGGCAUCAAGACAGCCUAAACAAUUUGAAUGUUGUUGAAUAAAUGAUGAUACGUCAUUAGGGCUGCCUUUGCUGUUUGUUAAAUUCCUUUUGUUAGAGUAGCGCUUCUUGAGAGUGAAGUGUGAAAGGUGGUGAUCUUCACCGAAGCAUAAAUAUUGUCAAAGGAUCGAUAGCGAACAAGUACCGUGAGGGAAAGUUGAAAAGAUCUCUGAAAGGAGUAUCAAAAGACCUGAAACCAUGAUCGUGGAAGCUAAUUGACACGUAACCGUAGAUGUCUUUUGAGGAAGUCAUUUAUUCACGUUAAGAUUAGACCCGUCUUGAAACACGGACCAAGGAGUUGUUCACUAUUGCGAGCAGAACAGUGAAAAACUGGAAUGCGUAGAGAAAUCAAAGUGAUUUUCAAAACAGACCAAUAAUCUAUUGAGUUAGAGUAGUAGUGAUCAGACCCGAAAGAUGGUGAUCUAUGCUUGAAUAAGGUGAAGUCAGAAGAAAUUCUGAUGGAAGCUUUAAGCGAUACCUGACGUGCAAAUCGUUCGUAAAAUUCGAGUAUAGGGGCGAAAGACUAAUCGAACCAUCUAGUAGCUGGUUCCCUCCGAAGUUUCCCUCAGGAUAGCUGAAAAUAGUAAAGUUGAAACUGGUAAAGACAAUGAUUAGAGGAUCCGGAGGCCUUUUGGCCUUUGACCUAUUCUCAAACUUGAAAUAGUUUCGAAAGUAUUUGACUUAAUUUCGAAUGCUUUAUCAAUUAUAUUUUCAAGUGGGCCAAUUUUGGUAAGCAGAACUGGCGAUGAGGGAUGCUCCUACCGUUUAGCAAAGGUGCCUAAGUAGAUGCAAACGAGAUACCCAAAAGAUGUUACUUCAUUGAGACAGCAGGACGGUGGUCAUGGAAGUCGAAAUCCGCUAAGGAGUGUGUAACAACUCACCUGCCGAAUGAAGCAGCUCUGAAAAUGGAUGGCGCUGAAGCAUCUCACCGAUUCUAAACCAGAUUUCAAAUAUUGAAGUCUGUGUAGGAGGGCGUGAGAAUUGCAAUUACAGUCAUGUGUGAACGUGAUUUGAGCGAUUCUUAGUGCAGAUCUUGGUGGUAGUAAUUAAAGUUGUGUGAAACACACAACGGCCGUGUGGAAUAGGGUUCCGAGAGAACAGUAAUUGUGCUCGGGUGAGUCGGUCCUAAGGCAGGUCAUGUUGAUUCUAAAUCUAUUCGAUUUAUGCCGAAAGGAAUAACGGUUGAUAUUCCGUUACUAAAAACGAUAGUUUGGUGACAAAAAGUGAUUGAUUCUUCAGAUAGUUUGGCAGCAGGCGCUUGCGACGCUUGACAAUGACUUGAAUCUUUUGAAUUGAUUUAGUUAGCGAAAAAGAUAAAAAGUCGGACAUGUUCCAUUCUCAAUGGGAUCUUUCGCCAACCUAUUUGAACCUUGAAAUUUCGAUUACUAUUUGCUAUUGUUGACCUAAACCGCAUCAGGUCUCCAAGGUUAACAGCCUAUGGUUAAGUGGAAUAAAGUAGAUGAGGGAAGUCGGCAAAUUCGAUCUGUAACUUUGGAAAAAGGAUUGGCUCUGGACGUCAGUGAUUUAACUUGUUAAGUCACAAUUAUGACAUAUCCAGAACUGGUGUUGACUAGAGGAAUCUGACUGUUUAAUUAAAACAAAGCAUUGUGUAAAGUUGAAAAACUAUACACGCAAUGUGAUUUCUGCCCAGUGCUCUGAAUGUUAUUGUGAUGAGAUUCGCAUAAGCGCGGGUAAACGGCGGGAGUAACUAUGACUCUCUUAAGGUAGCCAAAUGCCUCGUCGUCUAAUUAAUGACGUGCAUGAAUGGAUCAAUGAGAUUCCUACUGUCCCCAACUACUAUCCAGUGUAAACCACAGCCAAGGSAACGGGCUUGGCAAUACAAGCGAGGGAAAGAAGACCCUGUUGAGCUUGACUCUAGUUUGAUAUKGWAAAACUMCUUGGAAGAUGUAGCAUACGUGGGAGCAUCUAAUGCGACAGKGAAAUACCACGGCUUCUAAUGUGGCUUUGCUCACUCGGAAUUAGUGGAUCUGCUCUGCAGAAACGCGAAACUAAAAGUGUAAACGACAUUGCMCUGAGGACAUUAUCAAAUGGGGAGUUUGGCUGGGGCGGCACAUCUGCUAAACAUCAACGCAGAUGCCCUAAGGUUAACUCAAAGAGAACAGAAAUCUCUUGUAGACCGAAAGGAGAAAAGUUAGCAUUAUACGGAUUUGUAUCAUCAAUAAGAAUUGCGAAAGCAUGGCCUAUCGAUCCUUUAAGCCCAGAAAGAUUCUGGCUAGAGGUGACGGAAAAGUUACCACAGGGAUAACUGGCUUGUGGCAGCCAAGCGUUCAUAGCGACGUUGCUUUUUGAUCCUUCGAUGUCGGCUCUUCCUAUCAUUGAGUUGCAGAAGUCUCAAAGUGUCGGAUUGUUCACCCGUUAAUAGGGAACGUGAGCUGGGUUUAGACCGUCGUGAGACAGGUUAGUUUUAUCCUACUUAUACACGCAUCAAAAGAGUUAAUCAACUUAGUACGAGAGGAACCGUUGAUUCAAACCGCUGGUUAAGCGUUUGACUGUAAAGUCAAAGACGCAAAGCUACGUUUGAUGGAUAAUGACUGAACGCCUCUAAGUCAAAAUCCUAACUUGUGAAAAGAUGUAUUAGUCAGUAAAGGUUCGAUACUAAUAUGAAAGACUUUACGAUUAAAUAUGAUAUCAAAAUACGAUUGAUACUCAAGUAGACGUUGUACAUUUGAGAGCAGUCUUUGAACUGCGAUCAAUUGAGGCUUAAAACUUGAAUUUCAAUUGUCCCUGUGGGGUAUCGUCAAGUGCUUGUGCCUACAUCGCGACGCAAAUGUGUUG
This 3389-nucleotide ribosomal RNA is filed under the name Gregarina niphandrodes. Its description in RNAcentral is "LSU rRNA". The stretch from base 403 to 3333 matches the Rfam family "Eukaryotic large subunit ribosomal RNA". Lineage: Eukaryota; Apicomplexa; Conoidasida; Eugregarinorida; Gregarinidae. The record is from RNAcentral.